GGUGCCAGCAGCCGCGGUAAUUCCAGCUCCAAUAGCGUAUAUUAAAAUUGUUGCAGUUAAAAGGCUCGUAGUUGAAUUUCUGCUGCAUUGCAUUUUCUCCUAUACGAGUUUUUGCAUUGUGGCUUAUUUCGGUUAUAAAAUUUAUUUUAUUUCCGGAUGUUUACUUUGAGAAAAUUAGAGUGCUCAAAGCAGGCUUUUGCCUUGAAUAGUUUAGCAUGGAAUAAUAAAGUAGGACUUUGGUUCUAUUUUGUUGGUUUUAGGUACCAAAGUAAUGGUUAAUAGGAACAGUUGGGGGCAUUCGUAUUUAACUGUCAGAGGUGAAAUUCUUAGAUUUGUUAAAGACGAACUACUGCGAAAGCAUUUGCCAAGGAUGUUUUCAUUAAUCAAGAACGAAAGUUAGGGGAUCGAAGACGAUCAGAUACCGU
RNAcentral lists this ribosomal RNA (425 nucleotides) under Theileria capreoli. Its description in RNAcentral is "SSU rRNA". It matches the Rfam family "Eukaryotic small subunit ribosomal RNA", at positions 563 to 1018 of the family's 1831-position model. Lineage: Eukaryota; Apicomplexa; Aconoidasida; Piroplasmida; Theileriidae. The record is from RNAcentral.